This is a long non-coding RNA of Hydra vulgaris (swiftwater hydra), 328 nucleotides long. RefSeq lists it as uncharacterized. The record is from RefSeq and is a predicted model, not a curated record. Lineage: Eukaryota; Metazoa; Cnidaria; Hydrozoa; Anthoathecata; Hydridae.
AUUAGAAAUAUGAUUAAAAGGGACCAAAAGCAAUUUAUUUUGACCGUUAUUUGUUAUGGAUUUACUUUUAACAUGACAAUUUGAUAAACUCGGGAGCUUCACUGUAGGUGUUUAAGUUUGUUUGUGUGCUAAAGUUAUUUUCGAAUCAGUUACAGUCCAAAUUAAUUAAAAAAGGAAGUGGGGAAAAGAUAACCUUAGAAAAUCUAGUAAAUAUAUGGAGUGUUUUACGAGAUAUCGGCGACGUGGAAGAAAAUGUUGACGGCAAUGCAGAAAUAUAGUUUCUUAUGUAUAUUUUUGUGAAAUAAAAAUUAAGUAAUGUUAGUUAAAA